GCUUUUUUAGUAUAAAAAAUAUAUUUGACUUCCAAUCAAAAGAUCUUAAAAUAAGAAAAAGUA
RNAcentral lists this transfer RNA (63 nucleotides) under Planusocoris schaeferi. RNAcentral's name for it is "tRNA-Gly". It matches the Rfam family "tRNA". From Rfam's summary of the family: Transfer RNA (tRNA) molecules are approximately 80 nucleotides in length. Their secondary structure includes four short double-helical elements and three loops (D, anti-codon, and T loops). The record is from RNAcentral. Lineage: Eukaryota; Metazoa; Arthropoda; Insecta; Hemiptera; Alydidae.